GAGAUGGAGAUCCUGUUGAGCUCGAUGAGAAUAAUGAAGAUCUGAUCACCUAUAUAGAUAUGAUACAGAGGUCUGACUCUGAUAAAUGACUUGGAAUCAUAAAAUCCAAAAUGGAGUCCAUGAAGAUCAACGAUGUAUGGACAUUAAUUGAUCCAUUUGAUGGGGUUAAACUCAUAGGGUGUAAGUGGGUCUUCAAAAGGAAGAGAGGCAU
RNAcentral lists this long non-coding RNA (211 nucleotides) under Elaeis guineensis (African oil palm). RNAcentral's name for it is "long non-coding RNA (EGUI_LNC069192)". The record is from RNAcentral. Lineage: Eukaryota; Viridiplantae; Streptophyta; Magnoliopsida; Arecales; Arecaceae.